GUGGAGUGAAGAGCUGCCAGCCCGAGCAGGUGACGCAGAUGGAUCCCGUUGGAGCCGAACCGCCCCGACAGAAAGGCUUCCCGUCUGAAGACAGCUGGUUCUACCCAAACUUUCAAGAUGUUUCCAGUUGGAGCCGUGGAGCCGAAACACAGAAGCUAGAUUCAUUCCUGAAACCAGCCUGGUUAAACCAAACCGACGAG
Long non-coding RNA from Cottoperca gobio, 200 nucleotides. RefSeq lists it as uncharacterized. NCBI's taxonomy places the organism in Eukaryota, Metazoa, Chordata, Actinopteri, Perciformes, Bovichtidae. The record is from RefSeq and is a predicted model, not a curated record. The transcript is spliced from 3 exons.